Pygocentrus nattereri (red-bellied piranha) is the source of this 1235-nucleotide long non-coding RNA. Lineage: Eukaryota; Metazoa; Chordata; Actinopteri; Characiformes; Serrasalmidae. The record is from Ensembl.
CAGUGAAUCAUGCCUGACAUCGACAGGACAGUUGUUCUGGAAGCUCUCUCGGCCCUCACCGGGACAGAGGUGAAGCUUCACACUGAACGCAAAGGAUGGCAUGCUACACCUGAUGAACUGACCAUUGAUAAUUUUCUCCCGACUGUCUUUGAAGUGAGGUGUAUACCUUCUAAACCACCAGUAACUGCAGCUUCAGCUUCUUCUGAACCAUCUUUGCUUUCAUUGUUCAAGAAGUUGUUUCUAAGCUCUUCUGAUGAAGAACCUGAGACAGAAACCUCAGCUCUGAGGAAGGAGCUGUUCGUGGACUUAGAGGAUUUCUUAGAUCCAUCAUUUGAUUAUGAUUUCAGAGAAGGCUCUGAUUCCUCAGAGUGUUCCCGUGGUGAAGAACCGUACUCACGGCCCUGGGGGUGGUACCGCUUUGCUCUUAAGGUUCUGGACAAGUAUCCAGAUGGAAAUGCCUGGCUGGGUUCCUGGGGAUGGAGGAGUAACUCUUCAACUGGUGAGUGGCCAGUUUCCUUUCAUGGAACCAGCAUUGAGGGAGCUAAAGCCAUCGUAAGCUCCAAUUAUAUAGCAGGACACGGCCAAGUUUAUGGCCGAGGCAUCUACUCCACACCUGAUAUUGAGGAAGCAGAUCGUUACGCAAUGAGCAAGAUGUUCACUUCCAAAAAAACUGGAAAAACCUACAGAGUCAUCAUGCAGAACCGGAUCAACCCAGAGAAGAGGGUAUUCACUGAUCAGGAAGACUACUGGCUCAUCCCAGUUCCUAAGGGGACCUCAGCAGAAGAGGAGAAGAGGAUCGUGGAGGAAUCUAUCCGUCCUUAUGGAAUUCUGAUUAAAGAGGUGUAAUUUAAAAACCUCCAAAUGUUCCUCAUUUUAUAAUCAUAAAGUAAGUUUUAUGUACUUCCAGCAUGUUUAAUAACUUCUGUAACCUGUUUCUAUCUGAAGAAAUAAUUAGAGAAUAAAUUUUGAUGAUUGUUGGUUGAGAACAACUUUUCUUCUUGCCUAAUUUCUUCUUCAUUUAGAUUAAACUCAAAUUCUUACGUCACUGCAUUUAUAACACGUGACAUUAUUGAGCAUUAGCUUCUUUCUUUUAUGGCUAUAAGGAUUUUUGUUAAUGUGAAUUAAAUGUUCUGGGAGAAAAGCUACACCAUGAUAUGACCCUAAUGGACAUUCUGUAUUUGUCCAAUUGUGAAAAAAAACAUCAUGUAAUGCAAAAGAUACACAUAUGUAAUAAA